AGAAGUCUCACAUUCUAAAAAAAUUACCUUCUCAUGCAUAUAUCUCUAAAGAUCAUGAUUCUUUUGGGGAGGGAAGCAUUAGAGUAAAUGAUUAUUAUCAAGCACCCCCUAGAAGACAUAGAGGAGAUAGAAAAGAACAAGAAAACCCAAGAGAGGUUAGGGUAGAACAACCCCAUUUCCAUGGAAAAGAAAAUAUAGAAGCUUGCCUAGAUUGGGAAAUGAGGGUAGAAAAAUUGUUUGCUUC
RNAcentral lists this long non-coding RNA (244 nucleotides) under Phaseolus vulgaris (common bean). RNAcentral's name for it is "long non-coding RNA (PVUL_LNC003411)". Lineage: Eukaryota; Viridiplantae; Streptophyta; Magnoliopsida; Fabales; Fabaceae. The record is from RNAcentral.